This 637-nucleotide ribosomal RNA is filed under the name Anabaena sp. LMGC1. RNAcentral's name for it is "bacterial SSU rRNA". It matches the Rfam family "Bacterial small subunit ribosomal RNA", at positions 99 to 770 of the family's 1533-position model. Lineage: Bacteria; Bacillati; Cyanobacteriota; Cyanophyceae; Nostocales; Nostocaceae. The record is from RNAcentral.
UGGACGGGUGAGUAACGCGUGAGAAUCUGGCUCUAGGUCGGGGACAACAGUUGGAAACGACUGCUAAUACCGGAUGUGCCGAGAGGUGAAAGAUUAAUUGCCAAGAGAUGAGCUCGCGUCUGAUUAGCUAGUUGGUGGGGUAAGGGCCUACCAAGGCGACGAUCAGUAGCUGGUCUGAGAGGAUGAUCAGCCACACUGGGACUGAGACACGGCCCAGACUCCUACGGGAGGCAGCAGUGGGGAAUUUUCCGCAAUGGGCGAAAGCCUGACGGAGCAAUACCGCGUGAGGGAGGAAGGCUUUUGGGUUGUAAACCUCUUUUCUCAAGGAAUAAUCCAAUGAAGGUACUUGAGGAAUCAGCAUCGGCUAACUCCGUGCCAGCAGCCGCGGUAAUACGGAGGAUGCAAGCGUUAUCCGGAAUGAUUGGGCGUAAAGAGUCCGUAGGUGGCCCUGUAAGUCUGCUGUCAAAGCGUCAUGCUCAACAUGAUAAAGGCAGUGGAAACUACAGAGCUAGAGUGCGUUCGGGGCAGAAGGAAUUCCUGGUGUAGCGGUGAAAUGCGUAGAUAUCAGGAAGAACACCGGUGGCGAAAGCGUUCUGCUAGGCCGCAACUGACACUGAGGACGAAUGUAUGAUUCUUG